GACGAACGCUGGCGGCGUGCCUAAUACAUGCAAGUCGAACGCAGUGGGGACGGGUGAGUAACACGUGGGUAACCUCCCCUCAGAGGGGAUAACACUUGGAAACAGGUGCUAAACCGAUACUGAUGGAUGAACCCGCGGUGCAUUAGCUAGUGGGUGAGGUAACGGCUCACCAAGGCCACGAUGCAGAGGCGGACUGGUGGGGGGAACGGGCACACUGGGACGGAGGAAACGCCCAGACUCCGAAGGUAGGCAGCAGUAGGGAAUCUUGGGCAAUGGACGAAAGUCUGACCGAGCAACGCCGCGGGAGUGAAGAAGGUUUUCGGAUCGUAAAGCUCUGUUGUUAGAGAAGCGGUAACUAACCAGAAAGGGACGGCUAACUACGUGCCAGCAGCCGCGGUAAUUC
RNAcentral lists this ribosomal RNA (403 nucleotides) under uncultured bacterium. RNAcentral describes it as "partial 16S ribosomal RNA". It matches the Rfam family "Bacterial small subunit ribosomal RNA", at positions 28 to 526 of the family's 1533-position model. The record is from RNAcentral.